Molecule: non-coding RNA, 72 nt
Organism: Mus musculus (house mouse)
Lineage: Eukaryota; Metazoa; Chordata; Mammalia; Rodentia; Muridae
Source: Rfam
GGGGGCAUGGCUCAGUGGCAGAGCACUUGCCUAGCAUUCAAGAGGCCCUGGGUUCAAUGCCCAGCCCACUCA